GAUGAACGCUGGCGGCGUGCCUAAUACAUGCAAGUCGAGCGAACAGACGAGGAGCUUGCUCCUCUGACGUUAGCGGCGGACGGGUGAGUAACACGUGGAUAACCUACUUAUAAGACUGGGAGAAUUUCGGGAAACCGGAGCUAAUACCGGAUAACAUGUUGAACCGCAUGGUUCAACAGUGAAAGACGGUCUUGCUGUCACUUAUAGAUGGUUCCGCGCCGCAUUGUCUAGUUGGUAAGGUAACGGCUUACCAAGGCAACGAUGCGUAGCCGAGCUGAGAGGGUGAUCGGCCACACUGGAACUGAGACACGGUCCAGACUCCUACGGGAGGCAGCAGUGGGGAAUCUUCCGCAAUGGGCGAAAGCCUGACCGAGCAACGCCGCGUGAGUGAAGAAGGUCUUCGGAUCGUAAAACUCUUUUAUUAGGGAAGAACAAAUGUGUAAGUAACUAUGCACGUCUUGACGGUACCCAAUCAGAAAGCCACGGCUAACUACGUG
RNAcentral lists this ribosomal RNA (497 nucleotides) under uncultured bacterium. Its description in RNAcentral is "partial 16S ribosomal RNA". It matches the Rfam family "Bacterial small subunit ribosomal RNA", at positions 28 to 507 of the family's 1533-position model. The record is from RNAcentral.